UUUAAACCCAACACUAAGUUUUCGUGUCCAUUUUUAUCGCCCAUCUUAUUUAAAAUUAUUUUAUAAUUAGUAUUUUUUAUUAGAUGAUAAAAUAUGAAUAGUAUUUAUAUGUGGCUUAUAUUUUUAAAUUUUUUUAAAAAAAAUUUAAAUAAAACGUCGAUUAAAAUUGGACUAAGAAACUUAUUACUAUGCUUAAA
This 197-nucleotide microRNA precursor is filed under the name Oryza meridionalis. Its description in RNAcentral is "MIR812 microRNA precursor family". It matches the Rfam family "MIR812 microRNA precursor family". Lineage: Eukaryota; Viridiplantae; Streptophyta; Magnoliopsida; Poales; Poaceae. The record is from Rfam by way of RNAcentral.